RNAcentral lists this ribosomal RNA (607 nucleotides) under uncultured bacterium. Its description in RNAcentral is "bacterial SSU rRNA". It matches the Rfam family "Bacterial small subunit ribosomal RNA", at positions 331 to 929 of the family's 1533-position model. The record is from RNAcentral.
CCAGACUCCUACGGGAGGCAGCAGUAGGGAAUCUUCGGCAAUGGACGGAAGUCUGACCGAGCAACGCCGCGUGAGUGAAGAAGGUUUUCGGAUCGUAAAGCUCUGUUGUAAGAGAAGAACGAGUGUGAGAGUGGAAAGUUCACACUGUGACGGUAUCUUACCAGAAAGGGACGGCUAACUACGUGCCAGCAGCCGCGGUAAUACGUAGGUCCCGAGCGUUGUCCGGAUUUAUUGGGCGUAAAGCGAGCGCAGGCGGUUAGAUAAGUCUGAAGUUAAAGGCUGUGGCUUAACCAUAGUACGCUUUGGAAACUGUUUAACUUGAGUGCAAGAGGGGAGAGUGGAAUUCCAUGUGUAGCGGUGAAAUGCGUAGAUAUAUGGAGGAACACCGGUGGCGAAAGCGGCUCUCUGGCUUGUAACUGACGCUGAGGCUCGAAAGCGUGGGGAGCAAACAGGAUUAGAUACCCUGGUAGUCCACGCCGUAAACGAUGAGUGCUAGGUGUUAGACCCUUUCCGGGGUUUAGUGCCGCAGCUAACGCAUUAAGCACUCCGCCUGGGGAGUACGACCGCAAGGUUGAAACUCAAAGGAAUUGACGGGGGCCCGCACAAG